CCUACGGGUGGCAGCAGUGAGGAAUAUUGGUCAAUGGACGAGAGCCUGAACCAGCCAAGUAGCGUGAAGGAAGACUGCCCUAUGGUUUGUAAACUUCUUUUAUAAAGGAGUAAAAAGAGGCACGUGUACCUUAUUGCAUGUACUCUAAGAAUGAGCAUCGGCUAACUCCGGGCCAGCAGCCGCGGGAAUACGGAGGAUGCGAGCGUUAUCCGGAUUUAUUGGGUGUAAAGGGAGCGGAGGUGGGAAGUUAAGGCAGUUGUGAAAGUUUGCGGCUAAACCCUUAAAUUGCAAUUGAAAUGGGCGUUCUUGAGUACAGGAGAGGUAAGCGGAAUUCGUGGUGUAGCGGUGAAAUGCUUAGAUAGCACGAAGAACCCCGAUGGCGAAGGCAGCUUACUAAACUGUGACUGACAUGGAGGCUCGAAAGUGUGGGUAUCGAACAGGAUUAGAUACCCGAGUAGUC
Molecule: ribosomal RNA, 460 nt
Filed under: uncultured bacterium
Lineage: Bacteria
Description: partial 16S ribosomal RNA
Rfam family: Bacterial small subunit ribosomal RNA
Source: RNAcentral